UUGAAUUGAAGAGUUUGAUCAUGGCUCAGAUUGAACGCUGGCGGCAGGCUUAACACAUGCAAGUCGAACGGUAGCAGGAGGAAGCUUGCUUUCUUGCUGACGAGUGGCGGACGGGUGAGUAAUGCUUGGGAAUCUGGCUUAUGGAGGGGGAUAACGACGGGAAACUGUCGCUAAUACCGCGUAGUAUCGGAAGAUGAAAGUGCGGGACUGUAAGGCCGCAUGCCAUGAGAUGAGCCUAAGUGGGAUUAGGUAGUUGGUGGGGUAAAGGCCUACCAAGCCUGCGAUCUCUAGCUGGUCUGAGAGGAUGACCAGCCACACUGGAACUGAGACACGGUCCAGACUCCUACGGGAGGCAGCAGUGGGG
Molecule: ribosomal RNA, 364 nt
Filed under: Haemophilus influenzae
Lineage: Bacteria; Pseudomonadati; Pseudomonadota; Gammaproteobacteria; Pasteurellales; Pasteurellaceae
Description: bacterial SSU rRNA
Rfam family: Bacterial small subunit ribosomal RNA
Source: RNAcentral